Molecule: ribosomal RNA, 253 nt
Filed under: uncultured bacterium
Lineage: Bacteria
Description: partial 16S ribosomal RNA
Rfam family: Bacterial small subunit ribosomal RNA
Source: RNAcentral
GACGUAGGGCGCGAGCGUUGUCCGGAUUUAUUGGGCGUAAAGAGCUCGUAGGCGGUUUGUCGCGUCUGCCGUGAAAGUCCGGGGCUCAACUCCGGAUCUGCGGUGGGUACGGGCAGACUAGAGUGAUGUAGGGGAGACUGGAAUUCCUGGUGUAGCGGUGAAAUGCGCAGAUAUCAGGAGGAACACCGAUGGCGAAGGCAGGUCUCUGGGCCGAUACUGACGCUGAGGAGCGAAAGCAUGGGGAGCGAACAGG